UCGCAGUUUUAGGAGUCGGUGAUUAGGCUGGUUUUUUGGGUUACUUUUUCGCUCCGAUUCCUGUAUUUCAUAGUGUUUGGCUUUUGAAUAUUUUAGUUCUUUCAGAGAAAUAUUACUUGCCUUACAGAUUUUGUAAAAAUGUUUCAAUUUUUAUAAGCCGAACGUUAGAGUCCUAAAACAAUACAUCAGUACUACUAUUAUUGUAAACAAACAAACGGAGCACCACUUGGCUCUGUUCCAAGGCCUUUUUCGAGUUCAUCUGGAGGUUUUCGUACUCGUGUACUCGUGAGAUCAAUACUGAAGAGUACGCCGAGCAGUAUCAAGCCAGAAAAUGUUUGCUGAUGAUGAUUGCAUAUUGUCUAUUGAUGUAUUGGGAUGAAUAAUUAAUUAUAACUUAUAACAGCAAGAUUAUAACUAUGAAGCGCUGACUAUGAAGUGAAAAAAUCUAGAAUGAGCGAACUCAGGCAGCUUUACUUUGCUAUGCAGAUGGUAAUGUGCAUUACUCAAGUGUCUGGCAAAUGAAACUUUGCAUUUCUUGAAAAAGGAUUUCAGUAAAAUUGUGAAUGUGACAAGCCAUGCAACGAUAUGAUCAUAUAAUACGUGUUAAUAGUCAUUCGUGACAAUGAUCUUUGGUCCAAUAUACAAUAGCAAAGCUCUCA
This 659-nucleotide long non-coding RNA is filed under the name Amphibalanus amphitrite. RNAcentral describes it as "uncharacterized LOC122367400". The record is from RNAcentral. Lineage: Eukaryota; Metazoa; Arthropoda; Thecostraca; Balanomorpha; Balanidae.